This 497-nucleotide ribosomal RNA is filed under the name uncultured bacterium. Its description in RNAcentral is "partial 16S ribosomal RNA". It matches the Rfam family "Bacterial small subunit ribosomal RNA", at positions 899 to 1397 of the family's 1533-position model. The record is from RNAcentral.
ACUCAAAUGAAUUGACGGGGGCCCGCACAAGCGGUGGAGCAUGUGGUUUAAUUCGAUGCAACGCGAAGAACCUUACCUGGGUUUGACAUCCUCUGACAGCCGUAGAGAUACGGUUUCCCCUUCGGGGGCAGAGAGACAGGUGCUGCAUGGCUGUCGUCAGCUCGUAUCGUGAGAUGUCGGGUUAAGUCCCUUAACGAGCGCAACCCUUAUCUUUAGUUGCCACCAUUCAGUUGGGCACUCUAGAGAGACCGCCGGCGUUAAGCCGGAGGAAGGCGGGGAUGACGUCAAGUCCUCAUGGCCCUUAUGUCCAGGGCUACACACGUGCUACAAUGGCCGACACAAAGGGUUGCCAACCCGCGAGGGGGAGCUAAUCUCAGAAAGUCGGUCUCAGUUCGGAUUGAAGUCUGCAACUCGACUUCAUGAAGCUGGAAUCGCUAGUAAUCGCGGAUCAGAACGCCGCGGUGAAUACGUUCCCGGGCCUUGUACACACCGCCCGU